CGGGUAGUAGCGCAGGGGCUAGCGCGACUGGUUCGGGACCAGUAGGUCGGAGGUUCAAUUCCUCUCUGCCCGA
This 73-nucleotide transfer RNA is filed under the name Spirochaetales bacterium. RNAcentral's name for it is "tRNA-Pro". It matches the Rfam family "tRNA". From Rfam's summary of the family: Transfer RNA (tRNA) molecules are approximately 80 nucleotides in length. Their secondary structure includes four short double-helical elements and three loops (D, anti-codon, and T loops). The record is from RNAcentral. Lineage: Bacteria; Pseudomonadati; Spirochaetota; Spirochaetia; Spirochaetales.